Molecule: ribosomal RNA, 397 nt
Filed under: uncultured bacterium
Lineage: Bacteria
Description: partial 16S ribosomal RNA
Rfam family: Bacterial small subunit ribosomal RNA
Source: RNAcentral
AUACGUAGGGGGCGAGCGUUGUCCGGAAUGAUUGGGCGUAAAGGGCGCGUAGGCGGCGCGGUAAGUCUGGAGUGAAAGUCCUGCUUUCAAGGUGGGAAUUGCUUUGGAUACUGCCGCGCUUGAGUGCAGGAGAGGUUAUCGGAAUUCCCGGUGUAGCGGUGAAAUGCGUAGAGAUCGGGAGGAACACCAGUGGCGAAGGCGGGUAACUGGACUGCAACUGACGCUGAGGCGCGAAAGUGUGGGGAGCAAACAGGAUUAGAUACCCUGGUAGUCCACACUGUAAACGAUGAAUGCUAGGUGUAAGAGGUAUCGACCCCUUUUGUGCCGGAGUCAACACAAUAAGCAUUCCGCCUAGGGAGUACGGCCGCAAGGUUGAAACUCAAAGGAAUUGACGGGG